GCGGCGGUUGGCGCGGCCAACGGCGCCGCCCCGACCACCAAUGUCCGUGUGCGCCGUACGCCGUCGCUCGUCUCACGUCAGUCGUCUGCCACGUCAUCAGUCUCAGGCACAGCGGCUGGCGCCAUCGACGAGGCCACGUUCAUCGCGUCGUUCGAGCAGGUGCCCAAGGUGCAGCUGUUCU
Long non-coding RNA from Pollicipes pollicipes, 181 nucleotides. RefSeq lists it as uncharacterized. The transcript has 3 exons. Lineage: Eukaryota; Metazoa; Arthropoda; Thecostraca; Pollicipedomorpha; Pollicipedidae. The record is from RefSeq and is a predicted model, not a curated record.